Gymnodraco acuticeps is the source of this 3236-nucleotide RNA transcript. It is a transcript of the gene named spindlin b, with no coding region annotated. The transcript has 9 exons. NCBI's taxonomy places the organism in Eukaryota, Metazoa, Chordata, Actinopteri, Perciformes, Bathydraconidae. The record is from RefSeq and is a predicted model, not a curated record.
UGCCGCCUCACUUCCGCAGUGCCUUCAUUAGCGCAGCUAGCUUGACGCAGCGGCGGAAAACCAAACGGAGGCACAGCGGAUCAAUUCGGAGCCACGGCGGUUGAUCGGGAUUAUGCGGCGACACUGAUUGCUGUACCGGCUGAAGACACUGACUCCUCAUCGUGUCACCUGUGACGUCGCCUCAGCCUCCGGUUGUUAGUCUGUACCCGGCCUGUAUGCAGCCUGUCCAGGGCCCGGCCUAAUUCCUGGUGCUCCUUCUUUCCCACCACCUCCUCCCUCCUUUCCCUACCCUUCUCCCCCCCUCUGCCCCUUCCCUCUAUCCUCACUCCCCCCGCACGCCCGCCGGCCUGCUGUCCCGCAGAGCGACACCCAGCCUUUAGCCCGGACCGGCGGCCUGGCUGGCUGCCCCCCUUACAGGUGGAUGAAUGAAGACCCCAUUCAAGAGCCCGACGGCCCCGCGGCCCCCCCGAGCAGACGGGGUACAAAAAGAGGAAGAAGAUAAUCAAGGAUGUCAUGGAAACGAUGGACAUUCAGGCGUUUCUGCAAACAUGAUGAAAAAGAAGAAUUCACAUAAGAAACAGAGGACCAGUGUGGGUCCCAGUAAGACUAUGUCUCCGCCCAGAAGGAACAUAGUGGGCUGCAGGAUCCAGCACAUCUGGAAGGAGGGCAGUAAGUCGUCCCAGUGGAAGGGGACGGUCCUGGACCAGGUCCCUGUGAACCCGUCUCUCUACCUGAUCAAAUACGACGGCUUCGACUGCAUCUACGGCCUGGAGCUGUACAGUGAUGAGAGGGUGGUGGGGCUGGAGGUGCUGCCCGACAGAGUGGCCCCGGCCCGUGUGAGCGACUCGAUGCUGGCGGAGACGAUGAUCGGCAAAGCGGUGGAGCACAUGUUUGAGACGGAGGACGGGCCGAAGGAGGAGUGGAGGGGGAUGGUGCUGGCCCGCGCUCCCAUCAUGACCGCCUGGUUCUACAUCACCUACGAGAAGGACCCCGUGCUCUACAUGUACCAGCUGCUGGACGACUACAAGGAGGGAGACCUGCGCAUCAUGCCCGACUCCAACGACACGGUGGCGGCAGAGCGGGAGCCCGGCGAGGUGGUGGACAGUCUGGUGGGCAAACAGGUGGAGUACGCCAAAGAGGACGGAGGCAAGCGCUCGGGCAUGGUCAUCCACCAGGUGGAGGCCAAGCCCUCGGUCUACUUCAUAAAGUUUGACGACGACUUCCACAUCUACGUCUACGACCUGGUCAAGACCUCCUAAGACCAGAAGACCCGGUCCAGGAUCGGGACCCCAUAAAAGUCUUACUGGGACCUGCCUAGACCCUCUGAAAAACAAAACAAAACUCCCCAGUGAAGAACAAGUGAUUUGAAACAUCCAUCUGGGACGGAUGAUAUCAUUCAUAACUCUUGCUUUCAUGGAACGCCUUCAACACAAGAAAAAUACUUCAUUAUGGAGGCCCCCCCCCCCCCCCCAAGACAGGAGAACCACCACCUGCUCCACCUGUAUUCAAUGAUAUAUCAUCAUCAUCAGUGUCCAGAUGUUGUUAAGUUCCAUUAGGAUUCUUCAAGACACAAAAUGGUGUGAUUACCUCAAAUAAGACCAAGUUAUUUGACAUAAUAGAUUUUAAAUUUUGGAAUAUUUGUAGCAAUACCUAACGAAUCAGAAAACAAAUGUUCUCCAAGCUGAUAGGACCCAAUCUUGAGAUCUUCCUAGCGAACAGGAAACGUCCCCCAUCGCAUUAUCCUCCCCUCCAGAGUGGCAGCAGGUCUGAAACUAUUGAAGUAAACGGAACCCCCCUCUCCUGAAACCUUGUCAGACUGCUUGUUGGGGGGGGGGGCGGACCGGUCUGCCGUGGUUAAUGAAGGGUUGGGUCUUCAGGAAGACAGAAACCUAGAGAUGAAGUGAAAGCUGAACCAUCGUCUCCAUUUGUGUUUAUCCAAGGUCAACGGUGACUGGGUUGCAAUUAGAGGAAGAACUCAUCUCCAAUCACAGCAUUUUACUGACCCUGCCCCCCCCCCUACAGGGCACCGCAGAAAGAGUGGAAUAAAGUCUGAAGCGCACCGUGGAGAAAACAGAGAAUGCGGACUACUUUCUGUUUCCAUCCUUUCACCAUUUGUGUUGAUGCCGAUGCCUUCAUUACCCAUAAUGACUUGAGGUUUCAGCAGGAGAGGGUGUGUUGAUUCGGCUUCAUCGGUAAGCAUCGUUAGCUGUCCUCUGGUCAGCCGAUUCUCACUGGAAGCGCUUGUGGUCGCCGCACAGAUUUAGUUUUCAGUGGGAGUGCUAAUGAUGCUAACGAGCUAAUUCCAUGAGUCCUAGGCCCUGGAUAACGAGGGUGAUGCUGAAACAUGUUCACACAAACGUUUCAUGGAUUCUGCUGAGAAUAAGUUCAGGUCACACAAAGAAAGUUCAGUCAGGGGUUUUGGAAGAUCUCCCAGAAUCCUCUGCUCCUCCCAACAAGAAGCCCACUCCUCCAUUAGCAUUAAACAGCCAUGUUGCCUGAUCCAUGUCUCCUGAAGGGACUCGAACAUCUGUUUGAAAGAACAUGGGUGUCACAACGUUUUGUUCAUUUGUUUUUAUUCUCGAACCUGCGUUGCUGUUCUGAAAUCUGCCGUUUGAUAUUGUGCAAUGUGUUUCACGUUCUGAUACUAGUCCAUGGAGACUCCUGAAGUGAACGGUCCUUCUCCAGUCUUUGAUAACAUACUCGUUCUGACACACAAUCUGCAGCCUCUUUGUUCAGGAGCCGACACGCCGUUCCUAUUUUACAGAAGUGUGUGUGUGUGUGUGUGUGUGUGUGUGUGUGUGUGUGUGUGUGUGUGUGUGUGUGUGUGUGUGUGUGAGAGCCCCUGUUCAGAGCAGUGUUGUUUUUGCAUGCAUGUAUAGCUCAGUGUAAAUCGAUGUGAGUUGCAUGUCUGUGUAGUUUUCAGUUGUUCGGCUGACUUCUGUCUGUUGUGGCUUUUUUUUUUUGGUGCCUUUGUUUUGAUUUCUCUGUUUUUUUUCUUUGCCCGUUUCUUUUUGUACUAUGUGUCCCAGAGGCUACUGCUGCUGGGUUUUGGGGUUAUUGAGCAUAACAUAGAAAAACAAAGAAAAUCCUCCUUGAAACAGAGCUGACAACAGUGUGUGUGAAUUCUGUUUCUGUGUGGAGUGUCCCCUUUAAACAGUGCCAACUACAGAUUCCAGUGUUGUACAGAAGCUCACAAUAUUUACUAAAAUAAACCAUUUCUCUGUUUUUUUCAAUCA